UACGUAGGGUGCGAGCGUUACUCGGAAUUACUGGGCGUAAAGUGUGCGCAGGCGGCGUUGCAAGUCGAGUGUGAAAUCCCCGAGCUUAACUUGGGAAUUGCGCUCGAAACUACGAUGCUCGAGUGUGGCAGAGGAAGGUGGAAUUCCACGUGUAGCGGUGAAAUGCGUAGAGAUGUGGAGGAACACCGAUGGCGAAGGCGGCUUUCUGGCCCGUUCUUGACGCUGAGGCGCGAAAGCUAGGGUAGCAAACGGG
Molecule: ribosomal RNA, 253 nt
Filed under: uncultured bacterium
Lineage: Bacteria
Description: partial 16S ribosomal RNA
Rfam family: Bacterial small subunit ribosomal RNA
Source: RNAcentral